Molecule: long non-coding RNA, 189 nt
Organism: Xiphophorus maculatus (southern platyfish)
Lineage: Eukaryota; Metazoa; Chordata; Actinopteri; Cyprinodontiformes; Poeciliidae
Exons: 3
Source: RefSeq, a predicted model, not a curated record
UUGACACACCACGCUUCCGUGUUGAGCUGUCUGUGCGCUGAGUACAGGAACGGACGGGCGUAUUUACCUCCACAUUGAUUGUGGGUGAGGUGGUUCCUGCAAAAACAGUGCCAACAUUUGAGCGUUCCCAUUUGGGUGCAAGUGUGGAGAGCUUGCUAAUUGGAAUCUCGACUGUCACACAACGCUGCU